This 77-nucleotide transfer RNA is filed under the name Actinomycetes bacterium. Its description in RNAcentral is "tRNA-Val". It matches the Rfam family "tRNA". From Rfam's summary of the family: Transfer RNA (tRNA) molecules are approximately 80 nucleotides in length. Their secondary structure includes four short double-helical elements and three loops (D, anti-codon, and T loops). Lineage: Bacteria; Bacillati; Actinomycetota; Actinomycetes. The record is from RNAcentral. RNAcentral also lists the same sequence under 2 other names.
GGGCGGUUAGCUCAGUUGGUUAGAGCGCUUCGUUCACACCGAAGAGGUCGGCGGUUCGAGUCCGCCAUCGCCCACCA